This 254-nucleotide ribosomal RNA is filed under the name uncultured bacterium. RNAcentral describes it as "partial 16S ribosomal RNA". It matches the Rfam family "Bacterial small subunit ribosomal RNA", at positions 524 to 776 of the family's 1533-position model. The record is from RNAcentral.
CACGUAGGGUGCGAGCGUUGUCCGGAAUUAUUGGGCGUAAAGAGCUCGUAGGCGGUGUGUCGCGUCGGCCGUGAAAACCUGCAGCUUAACUGUGGGCUUGCGGUCGAUACGGGCAUCACUGGAGUUCGGCAGGGGAGACUGGAAUUCCUGGUGUAGCGGUGAAAUGCGCAGAUAUCAGGAGGAACACCGAUGGCGAAGGCAGGUCUCUGGGCUGACACUGACGCUCAUGCACGAAAGCGUGGGGAGCAAACAGG